RNAcentral lists this long non-coding RNA (1056 nucleotides) under Homo sapiens (human). RNAcentral's name for it is "HSALNT0372250". The record is from RNAcentral. Lineage: Eukaryota; Metazoa; Chordata; Mammalia; Primates; Hominidae.
GAUUCUCGUGCCUAGGCCUCCCGAGUAGCUGGGAUUACAGGCACCUGAGAAUGAAUAGAGCUCCUCUGCUCUCUCGUUAGCCCCAUCCCAAAGGCUGAGCCUCUACUGUUUGGGAACUAUCAAGAGAAGACACAGCUAUCAAGCCAGGAGCCCUCAUCGAGCCUCAUUCUCAGCCACAUCGUAAGGAUUUAGAGGCCCUAAGCACUGACGACGCUGUGGUGCCACAAAAAUAGACAAGCAGGGCAUGUGCGCUGAAGCUGGAAGAGGCUUCUUCCAUAUUUUCAUUGCAAAAUCAGAACUUUGACCCGCUUUGCAGAUAACCCUGCAUUUUACCGAGAUGUCAAAGCAGGAAGUGCUUGGCUGGAACAUCUGCCGACAGCCUCAUCUCUUUCUGCAAGAUCAUGAUGUUCUGCAUGCUCCUGUGGCCUCUUAUUUCACGUUGCUCUCCCUGCAAAUUUUGAAACAACUUUAAAGAUGAAUAAAAAGCAGCUCAGCAAGUGAAUCCCAGAUCCCGGUAAGAGAGUGUCUCCCCCAACUCACAUAGUGAGUGCACAUCAUCCCCAGAACCACCAUGAGAGUGAGCCUGGUAGCGGGUAGCACCCUGCCUGUGACGAAGCCAGCACACUAUGACGAGCAGCAGCUUCUAGACCCAUGGACCACGGGCACUGCCAACGCUCUCCCUCCGGGGACUCCUCCUGCCUCCCAUACAGGGCCAAACUCCGACGCCCACGAGCUCGCUCAGAAUUGGCUCAGGCUGCAAUCACUUCUCUUCUCCUACCUCCACACCAUUCCCUGAUGGUGGACAGCUUCUCCUUUGAGAACCACACCUGCCUUUUCAGACAAAAGGAGACACCACCCACCCUCCUGCUGAGGGCUGCUCCCCUGGGGCCUUCUCAGCACACCUCUCUCUCUCUAGGUCAAAAAACAAAUUUCACAUGCUGAAUUUUUACCUUUUUUAAAGUGACUCCGAAUUUUGGCACCAGCAAUUAAUUCAACACUUGAAUAAGAUUUGAAAACCUCACAACAAAUCACAAAUAUAUUAUGGGUCCUGUUGAA